GACAGAGGGGGCAAGCGUUGCUCGGAAUCACUGGGCGUAAAGCGCACGUAGGCGGACUCUUAAGUCGGUGGUGAAAUCCUGGAGCUCAACUCCAGAACUGCCUUCGAUACUGAGAGUCUCGAGUCCGGGAGAGGUGAGUGGAACUGCGAGUGUAGAGGUGAAAUUCGUAGAUAUUCGCAAGAACACCAGUGGCGAAGGCGGCUCACUGGCCCGGUACUGACGCUGAGGUGCGAAAGCGUGGGGAGCAAACAGG
Molecule: ribosomal RNA, 253 nt
Filed under: uncultured bacterium
Lineage: Bacteria
Description: partial 16S ribosomal RNA
Rfam family: Bacterial small subunit ribosomal RNA
Source: RNAcentral